UACCCCUAGCAAAUCUCAAAAAACCGUCUCAGUUCGGAUUGGGCUCUGCAACUCGAGCCCAUGAAGUUGGAAUCGCUAGUAAUCGUGGAUCAGCACGCCACGGUGAAUACGUUCCCGGGCCUUGUACACACCGCCCGUCACACCAUGGGAGUUGGUUUUACCUGAAGACGGUGCGCUAACCGAAAGGGGGCAGCCGGCCACGGUAGGGUCAGCGACUGGGGUGAAG
RNAcentral lists this ribosomal RNA (226 nucleotides) under uncultured Nitrobacter sp. RNAcentral describes it as "partial 16S ribosomal RNA". It matches the Rfam family "Bacterial small subunit ribosomal RNA", at positions 1259 to 1485 of the family's 1533-position model. Lineage: Bacteria; Pseudomonadati; Pseudomonadota; Alphaproteobacteria; Hyphomicrobiales; Nitrobacteraceae. The record is from RNAcentral.